GACGAACGCUGGCGGCGUGCCUAAUACAUGCAAGUUGAGCGAUGAAGAUUGGUGCUUGCACCAAUUUGAAGAGCAGCGAACGGGUGAGUAACGCGUGGGGAAUCUGCCUUUGAGCGGGGGACAACAUUUGGAAACGAAUGCUAAUACCGCAUAAUAACUUUAAACAUAAGUUUUAAGUUUGAAAGAUGCAAUUGCAUCACUCAAAGAUGAUCCCGCGUUGUAUUAGCUAGUUGGUGAGGUAAAGGCUCACCAAGGCGAUGAUACAUAGCCGACCUGAGAGGGUGAUCGGCCACAUUGGGACUGAGACACGGCCCAAACUCCUACGGGAGGCAGCAGUAGGGAAUCUUCGGCAAUGGACGAAAGUCUGACCGAGCAACGCCGCGUGAGUGAAGAAGGUUUUCGGAUCGUAAAACUCUGUUGGUAGAGAAGAACGUUGGUGAGAGUGGAAAGCUCAUCAAGUGACGGUAACUACCCAGAAAGGGACGGCUAACUACAUG
This 497-nucleotide ribosomal RNA is filed under the name uncultured bacterium. RNAcentral describes it as "partial 16S ribosomal RNA". It matches the Rfam family "Bacterial small subunit ribosomal RNA", at positions 28 to 507 of the family's 1533-position model. The record is from RNAcentral.